Molecule: ribosomal RNA, 1986 nt
Filed under: Triticum aestivum (bread wheat)
Lineage: Eukaryota; Viridiplantae; Streptophyta; Magnoliopsida; Poales; Poaceae
Description: partial small subunit ribosomal RNA
Source: RNAcentral
AUGCUUUUGAGUAGUGGAAAUCUCAUCCUGACAGACUCUUCAAACUCAGCAGAGGUUCUGUGGCAGAGCUUUGAUCACCCCACAGAUACACUUUUCCCUGGGGCAAGGCUUGGACCGGACAAGGUCACUGGCUUGAACUGUCAGAUCGUCUCUUGGAAGAACUUGAUGGACCUAGCUACCGGCGUGUACUGUCAUACGUUAGACCCCAGUGGUGCCGAUCAGUUCUUGCUUACACCAUUGAACUCAUCCAUACCAUAUUGGUCAACCGGUGUAUGGAACGACAAAUACUUUGCCUUAAUUCUAGAGAUGACAGCAAAGAACCCUGUUUCCAUCAUAACAUUUGUCAACAAUGACCAAGAGAAGUAUUUAACAAUUAACUUUGUCAAUGAAUCUAUGGUUACUCGUUUUGUAGUUGACGUGUUAGGUCGAUUAAAACAGUUCAUUUGGUUGGACGGUUCCCAGGAUUGGAUACUGGCCUUUGUCCAACCAAAACUUCAGUGUGAUGUCUACGCAAUUUGUGGACCUUUCACAAUUUGCAACGAGAAUGCGCCUCCACAUUGCAAUUGCAUGGAGGGCUUCAGCAUAACAUCCCCCCAGGAUUGGGAAAUAGAAGAUCGAACAAGUGGGUGCUCCAGAAAUAAUCCGUUAGACUGCAUUAGCAACAAAAGCACAUCUCAUACAACAGACAAGUUCUACUCUUUGCCAUUGAGUUGCAUGCCUGAGAAUGUCCCAAAACUCGAAGCUGCUACAAGCGCCAGUGAGUGCGCACAAGUUUGCCUGAGUAAUUGCUCUUGCACCGCAUAUUCCUUCAACGAUGGAAGAUGUUCUGUCUGGCAUAAUGAAUUGCUCAGCAUAAGAGCGCUACAAUCCGGAGGAACUCUUUACCUUUGUAUUUCUGCUAAAGAUUUCAACAGAUUAGAAAACAACAGAAAGGGGAUUGUUAUUGGAGUUGCAAUUGGUACAGGCAUUUCUGCUAUAGGUUUAUUUGCACUUGUUCUCCUGAUAAAGAUUUUGAGAAACAGAAGUAAGAGCUCUAGCCAUAUACUGGAUGGUGUUCAAGGUUGUAACAGAAUCAUUGCAUUUAGAUACACUGAUUUACAGCAUGCCACAACAAAGUUCAAAGAUAAGUUGGGUGCGGGCAGUUUUGGUUCUGUAUUCAAGGGGGUUUUAAAUGACUCGGUAGCUAUAGCAGUGAAAAGGCUUGACGGUGCUUCUCAAGGAGAGGAGCAAUUCAGAGCUGAAGUGAGCUCAGUUGGAGCUAUCCAGCACAUCAAUUUAGUUAAGCUUGUUGGUUUCUGUUGUGAGGGUUCCAAGAGGUUGCUUGUUUAUGAACACAUGUCAAAUCGCUCUCUUGAUGUCCAUUUAUUUCGAAACAAUUCAACAAUAUUGAGUUGGACUAUUAGAUAUCAGAUAGCCAUAGGGGUUGCUCGAGGUUUAGCCUACUUGCAUGAGGGAUGUCGAGACUGCAUCAUACACUGCGAUAUUAAGCCAGAAAACAUACUUCUUGAUGAUUCAUUUAUUCCCAAAGUUGCAGACUUUGGGAUGGCGAAGCUUUUGGGAAGGGAAUUCAGCCGAGUACUGACUACAAUCAGAGGAACUGCAGGGUACCUUGCACCUGAAUGGAUCAGUGGCGUUGCUGUUACACCAAAAGUCGAUGUGUAUAGCUAUGGGAUGAUGUUGCUUGAAAUUAUAUCUGGAAAGGAGAACUCAAGUGCAUCAUAUUCUAGCAGUGGCGACCUUGAUGUUUCUUUCCCUGUUCAUGCUGCACACAAGCUUCUUGAAGGAGACGUCGGGAGUUUGAUAGAUCAAACGUUACAUGAUGAUCUUAAUUUGGUUGAGGCUGAACUGGCUUGCAAGGUUGCAUGUUGGUGCAUCCAACACCAUGAGCUUGAUCGACCAACAAUGGGACAGGUAGUUCAGAUUCUUCAAGGGCUAGUUGAGAUCAGGAUGCCCCCCAUACCAAGACACCUCGAAGCUAUGGCUUAA